Molecule: ribosomal RNA, 513 nt
Filed under: uncultured bacterium
Lineage: Bacteria
Description: bacterial SSU rRNA
Rfam family: Bacterial small subunit ribosomal RNA
Source: RNAcentral
UUGCUCCUCUGACGUUAGCGGCGGACGGGUGAGUAACACGUGGAUAACCUACCUAUAAGACUGGGAUAACUUCGGGAAACCGGAGCUAAUACCGGAUAAUAUAUUGAACCGCAUGGUUCAAUAGUGAAAGACGGUUUUGCUGCCACUUAUAGAUGGAUCCGCGCCGCAUUAGCUAGUUGGUAAGGUAACGGCUUACCAAGGCGACGAUGCGUAGCCGACCUGAGAGGGUGAUCGGCCACACUGGAACUGAGACACGGUCCAGACUCCUACGGGAGGCAGCAGUAGGGAAUCUUCCGCAAUGGGCGAAAGCCUGACGGAGCAACGCCGCGUGAGUGAUGAAGGUCUUCGGAUCGUAAAACUCUGUUAUUAGGGAAGAACAAAUGUGUAAGUAACUAUGCACGUCUUGACGGUACCUAAUCAGAAAGCCACGGCUAACUACGUGCCAGCAGCCGCGGUAAUACAUAGGUGGCAAGCGUUAUCCGGAAUUAUUGGGCGUAAAGCGCGCGUAGGCGG